UCCAUAACACCGACGGCUCCCCCCCUAAAAUAAGGGUGACUCAACUAGAGGUUGUGUACAACAUGUGUACUACGGACUUGUUGCAGAAAGAAGGCCGGGGGGUGGACACAUGAUGACAGAUAUAAAGCGGUAACACAUAGGAUAAAUACUAUAAACAAAGAGCACAAAAACGCACAAAAGUGAAAACAAUAACACAAACAAAAUCACAAACAAUGCUUAUACACUCGCAAUGCCAAACAAAGCCGAUACGACUCCAAAAAUAGCUCGAAUUCUAAAAACUUGU
RNAcentral lists this long non-coding RNA (283 nucleotides) under Capsicum annuum. RNAcentral describes it as "long non-coding RNA (CANN_LNC014401)". The record is from RNAcentral. Lineage: Eukaryota; Viridiplantae; Streptophyta; Magnoliopsida; Solanales; Solanaceae.